ACCCUCUCCCAGGUCUAGAGAGGGGUACCCACGGUGGAGGGAGGUGGGAGGCCGAGACGGCCCCGGGGGUCGGCGGAGACCCAGCGGGAGCAGGGGGAAAUCGGAAGAGCUGGGGGCAUGGAGCGGGCGAGUUUGGAGCGGAAUGAGCCGGGAGCCCUACGUUGUGGAAGGAAGACAACAGUAUAGGACCAUCAGCAGGACCGGACAGAGAGGGGCACCCCUGGCUGUCCUGGAACUUGUAGACCAGGCUGGCCUUGAACUCAGAAAUCCGCCUGCCUCUGACUCCCGAGUGCUGAGAUUAAAGGUGUGCACCACCACACCCGACAAGGAAGCCUGUUUUAAGAAGUGAUUCCAUGGAGGAGUUCUGCGGCGGCUCAGGGCUUGACUAAACAGUGGACCUCAGGGUCCCAUUUCUCUCAGUAGACAAGAGAGGCUAAACCAGGCUGCAGGUGACAGGAAGAAUUGAAUAAACUGAAAGCAAAGGGCAGCCUUCUAAUUACGCUUCGUGGCUAUGUGGACAACCUGGAGAAGUCUGGAAACCCAGCCCCACCCCAUCACAUUCUUACUCCUUCCCUUUCCAAGAAAGAAGCCAGAAGCCCGAAGCCAGCAGUAGAGCUCUGACUGGCUUGUAUGCCUAGAAAGGAAGGGCUCUUCUUUCGCCUCACGGGCACAAAUGGGACCCACGAGCGCCGAUUUCAGACUAUUCUGAUCCCUUCAAAAAGAAAGUUAGGAGUCCAGGCUACUGUGAGUGAAUUUGAUUCUAAUUGUUUCAGAGAAUAUGGAAUAAAAUAUCUCAUUUGCA
Molecule: long non-coding RNA, 802 nt
Filed under: Mus musculus (house mouse)
Lineage: Eukaryota; Metazoa; Chordata; Mammalia; Rodentia; Muridae
Description: predicted gene 20544
Source: RNAcentral